CCAGGCCAGAGCACAGAGACAGCUUCCCAGGCUUGCUCCUUUCUCCUUCUCUUUCUCCUACUCUGUUUUUCUGUGUGUUUUUUUCUCCUCUUGUUUUGUAGUUGCGGGUUUUUAUGUUGGUUUUUGCUUUUUUUGUUGUUUUAUUUUUUAAGACCUCUGUCCAGGAACAAAGUUCUGACCUCAAAAAAUCACACAGCUCUGCCUGGCUCUUGCUUAGCCAUUGCUGGGAGACAAGAAAGUGAAAAGAGGUUUCAGUUACAUGAUUCCUUGGGACGGCUCGUGGGGGUCCAUUGGAGUGUCUGACACUGCCCUGUGUCUAGCUGUAUGCAUUGCACAUCUCAUGCAGCUCUGCAUUAAGAUGUUGGGUGCAUUGCCACAGCUGUGACAGCCACCAGAACAUCCCCUGCGCACCAGCAGUCAAUGCUGGGUGCUGGCAAGUGAAGGGAAUGAGCCAGAGCAGCUGAUGGCUGUGGGUUUCACCUGUGAAUGGCUGAUAAAAGGGCAGGGCUGGCUCAGAGCUCAGUUUCAUGCCUGUGGAGGUGGGAGCUGCUUUGUUGUGCAUCCUGCCCAAGGAGAAACAGGACUGAACUUUAACAGUGACAUCUUGCAGAGAGGAUGGAUGGAGAAAGCAACAGCAUUUACUGGAUGCUGAUGUGCUGGUAAGACCCUUCUGGGUGUUCCUUGAUAGAGCCAGGCUUCGGAGCAUGUAUGUGCUGUGAUGCAUGCAGUGACAGAGAUGGAGCAGAUGUGGCCCUCCGGGACAGACCACCCCACACCCUCUCUAUGCAUGGCCUGUGUUUGCCCUAAUGAGGCUGGAGGUAGAAUGCCCUGUGCUGAUGCCAGGGCUUGGUCUUUGGGCUUGUGCUUAUGCAUGCUGCUGCAGCACCCCUAUAAGCUGAGGCUUGGUGUGCACUGCUUCUGUCCCAUAAUCUGAUAAAGCCCCAGCUGUAGUCCCUGUAAGAGGCUCCAUCCUCUUGAGCUCCUUUGCAGCUCACAAUUAGCUCAGGGUGCUGCACGUGAAGGUUCAGAAAAGAGCUUACAUUCUCCAUGGGGAAGCAAAAACGCAGAAGCUGAUUCUGCCUGGCACUGCCAUCUGUGGAGCUGCCCACGCAGGCAUGUGCCCCAUUGGAGCCUCUGCUCCCAUGUGUGCUCCUACAGAACAUAUGGUGCUCUUCUAGGUAUGGAUACUGAUUUUUCUCUCCGGCAGCUUUCUGCUCUCUGUACAGACAGCAGCUCCAGCUCUUCUGAGGCAACUCGUGACCCUGCAGCCACAGCAGAGCUGUUGUUUAUUCACAGCAGAUGGGAUCAGUGAGUGUUUCCCAAAUUACUUUCUGAGCUGGGACUUCUUGUUUCAUUUGGUCCUGGUGAGUCCUGAUUAGUCACAACAUGACUCUGAUCCCCCAGGUGUUCAAUGGCUGUUGGUAGGGCUGAAAACCCCCCUUAUUUGCUAUUUGCUUGCUGGGGAAGGCAUUGGACAUGCUUCUCACUGCCAUACCUGCAUCACUGUGAGCACGGAGGUCAGUGUUAUGGAUUCUGAGCAUUCCCUGCCUACUUGAACCAUUUCAUCAACCAGGAUGUAGAUGGCAUGGUUUCAAACAAUAUCACUGCAUCAAAGUGCAGUGCAGGAACACAGUUUUGGACCCCAGCUUUCCUGGAACUCAGAACUGCUCAGCCUGCUGGUGUCUGAAGCAAGCACAGUGAUGUUGGUGGUAUUUGGCCUUACUAAGGGAUGUCACAUAGAGCCCACCUGACUCAGGAUUAUGAGCACUACAUGAAAAUGCUUGAGGCUUAAGGUUCAUUUUUACCUAGAAAGUUCCAAAGGUGCCUGAGUUCUACAGAGCCCACGUUGCCUGUACAACAGGCAGCUAGGCUGGGCAGUGCCUUGUGUUCCAUGUAUUGCACUGACUGUUAUCUAUGGAAUGGGCCAGGGCAAGCUGUGCCAAGGAAUCACAUCAGGCUGAUAUCCAAUACCAGCUGGAGGAGGGUCAUGGUGCAUCCAUUUCCCAGCUGGCAAAGAGACUGCCCUUCCCCAGCAGCAUAUCAUGGCUUGGCUGCCCAUGGGACUUGCUGCUGCUCAUGCAGUGAUUGCUGCCUGCUCCCCUGGUCCCUCCCAAAUGUUGUUUGGGGAUGUCCCCAUCUCCAGCCAGCUGUGCUGAGAAUGCUGUGAGUGCUCCCUGCCUUCCCAGUACCUGGAUGCAACGGCUACAGUCUGGACAAACUUCAUGCAUGAGUCCUCCCAGUGCUGACUUCAGGGAGUAUCUGAGUCAAACUGCUCCUAAACUGAGCCAAUAUUUUGUUCCUGAUGGCCCAACAUUGAGAAGCAUUUAUGUGCCUGCAGGGAGACCGGAGCUGAACUGCAGUUGCACGCAGGCACCCAACACAGCCCACAGUGAAAAGUGAGCCAAAGCAGCACAGGGUAAGGGAGGGAUCACUUACUGGCCUGUGACCUGGCCCUGAUGUGUUCCAGAGAUGAUGUGACUGCACCGAUCCAUUGCUCUGGUGGGAAAUGGGGACACCUCCCUCUGCUUUCCUUCUUUCAAGAGCAGUGCUCCAUCCCCAAAGCCCACCUGAGAGCACUCAGUGCCCUCCAGCCCUGGUUUUCUCCCUGUGGUUUUCAGGUUGCUCCUGCAUUGAUCCCGCUGCCUUUCAUCUCUGUUAAAACCACUGCAGGUUUUAACUCCACUCCAACAGGUCUCUGUGUUUUAUUUAUUCCUGCUGGCAGGUGUAUUGAUGGCCAAGUUCCUCCUUUCCUGGUCCUUGCUCGAAAUUAGAUAAAAGACAUUAAAAAUGGA
Coturnix japonica (Japanese quail) is the source of this 2792-nucleotide non-coding RNA. Lineage: Eukaryota; Metazoa; Chordata; Aves; Galliformes; Phasianidae. The record is from RefSeq and is a predicted model, not a curated record.